Long non-coding RNA from Cygnus olor (mute swan), 4178 nucleotides. RefSeq lists it as uncharacterized. The transcript has 2 exons. The record is from RefSeq and is a predicted model, not a curated record. NCBI's taxonomy places the organism in Eukaryota, Metazoa, Chordata, Aves, Anseriformes, Anatidae.
AUUAACUGGAAAAUGCCCCACUCAUAUCAAAGUUCAUUUUGUUUCAAUGUAAAUCAAGAAAAGCAUAAUAGGUGAGAGAUUUGAUUUUGCUCCUUAAGUAGAGUAAGUUUAAAUAUUGUUACAGAAAAGUAAUGCAUCUAAUACAUCCUAGUUCCUUUAUUUUUAAUUCUCUUGUGAAUUACACCAUACUUAGUGCUUGUACGUUUUCCCUUCCCCAAUCGAACAGAAAUUGAGUAUGAUGUUGAUAACAAAUAAUUUAUUAAAAAUAAAAAUUAACAAAAAAAGUCUUUAGCACAUUGAAAACAACUCUUGGCAACUGUACGAAGAUAUUUCAUGAACAUUAUGGGCAUAAGGGGCUGGGGCAAGCAUUUUGUCCUAAACUGUUAUCAGUUACAUCCAGAACUGAGGCACCAAGUAAUUUAAGAGUAACGAGAAGAGAGAGCAAAACCUGGAAGUCUCAGAUAAACGCUUGCCUCACUUUAUCAGAGAAACAAUUAAAGUGCAGCUAACGAGGAGCAGCUUUGCAGUCAGCUUUUCUCUCGACAUAGAUUUAACAGUCAAAGUUUCAGCUCUUCUGUGGGCAACCGUACAACACCCUCUUGAAAGCAGGAGGGGGAACGUAAGAGGUGAGAUCCCUGGCCCCUCACAGCGAGUGUCUUGGGGUCUUUCUGGGUUGUGACAGACACAAACCCAUAUUGAUGGGGACAUAAUUGGGAUACAAUCGGGACAGGGCUGGGGGGCAGACCUCGUUGCAAGCACCAAAGUUGGAUGGGCAAUGCUGAGACACCCGGAGCUGGCGGGGAAAGGCUCCCUGAGGAGCGAAGGGAGAGGAUGUGCAGUCUCCAGCCACCCAAGCAGACAGCAGUACAAGUCCACCACCACUACUUAGCUCACCAGAGUCCUUAGCCCACCAGAGUCUGGCAAGUGUGGUCCACGUCAGGGAAGAAAAAAAAAGUGCAUUUUGAACUACGAAGUCUUUCAAGACAGCCAAGGAGAAGAAGGUUUAAACAAACCAACAAGCAUCUGCCUGUUUUGCGAAAAGUACAACUAAUCUACAUGCACAGUGCUUCCCGGUCAGGCCGGCUCCAAGGGCUGCUGCUGUGGUUCCUUAUCUGGCAGGCUCAUUUGUGGCUACUGCAAACCAGGCCAUGAAGUAUUGAUAUGCAAAUCCUGCACAACCUCAUUUGACAAGAAUUAUUAUAACAAAUUUGGAAAAUUCCAAAAGAACCAGGUACUUAAAUGCACGUUCUAGCACAUCAUAAUUGCUUUAAAGAAAAAACACAAACUCAGUAACAACUACAACAAAACCAAAACAGACCUUCAGCACAAAGCUGAAAUUGUGGCUUUAACAGGCCUUGUUUGGAACUUUCUUAAACAUUUAGACUCCAAAGCAUCCUUAAAGGAUGAGGUCAGAUUCUCAAAGGCUCAGUCAAGCCCUUAUACCAACACAGAAUUUGUUCUAAAAUGCUAAGCUAGGUGCAAGUUGUACAUUUUGAACUUCAAAAUAUGUAACAUUCAAACUCAACAUGUAGUUGAGUUUCUCUUCAUACACUGUAUUUAAAACAGUAAAUCUUUGUCGCCUACGUUUGCAUAUUUCUUCACAAUGGAGAAACUAGAGAAAAUAUUUCAUUUUUGUUCUUUUCUAGACUAUGUCAAUUUUGCUAUAAAGUAUGUUAACGCACAGGAUUUACUGUAAAGUGAAGCCUCAUGCAGAAACGAUGAAUAACUGAUAGUACCUGUGUGUUUCACAAACUCAAGCAUUGAUCAAGCUAGGUUUGCUCUUGCUUGACCAAUGCACAACAGGUGUUUGCAGCACCAAGCAAGAGAUUAGCUACCUGUAGCAUCUGGACAGCUUAAUUGGCCUUUAUAAAUUGACCAAAACCAAAAAGAUUUAAAAUAGCUCAGUAUUCACUCCAAAGAUUCUCUUCAAAUUAGAAAAUAAAUUAUCCAAUCGGUUUAUUUUUUUAAAGGCACUUUCUAGUCUAAAAUGGGAUUAGUGCAGUCAGCAUGACUUUGACCUUUGAGACAUUUGCUCCUAUUCUGUAAUUAAUUCCACUUUUAAAUUACACUUUCAAACUGCAAACACACGAGUCUACCACCAAAGCUGUUGCCAGAAACAGUUGAUUUCAGUGAAGCACGAUACACAGCCAGACACAGUCAAGCUACCCAGUCUCUUAAAUACUGGUAUCAGACAUGAUUCAAUGUUGAAAUACUAAGUACUGCUCCUUUCCAAAAACAUUAUCUUCUGAUAACAACCAAAAGUGCUUUACUUACCUUAAACUUUUUACCACCACCACCCAUUUCAUUUCAAUCAAUCUUACAUUAAUCAUUUAAUUUCUGGUGCAAUUCAAGGGUACUAUACUGCUACUUAGAGGUUUCAUGCAUUGUUUAGGUAAGAACAGCCGAGCUUACCAUCAAGCACAUGCUUCUCUAUAUGUGGCUUUACAUUAAGACAAACCCAGAAGCACUGAGCGAUAAAAUCCACUGUUCUGGAUGUUCUGCAAACUGAGGGUUGAAUCUGCAUCUGUGGGUGGCUUGUCUCUUCGAUUUCAGCAGGGGAUUUGCACAUUUCUUCCUACUACUAGCAAUCUGGUAGGCUUUGCAUGCAAUAGAGCAUAAGAACAAAAUUUAUUCAUAUAAUUUGCUACAUAAAACUGAAUGACACAGUAACACAUCAUGCUUAUAGCAUAGAAAACAGUUAAGAACUGCAUGAUUUUCAGAGAUUUGCUUUUUGAACACACUCAAUACGUAUUUGUGCAGUUGACUUUCAUUUCACUAACUGUCCUCAAAUGUACUGUGGGUGCCAGAGCACUGGCACAGGUUGCCCAGAGAAGUUGUGGAGUCUCCUCCUUGGAAAUCUUCAAAAGCUGCAUGGACAUGGACCCAGAGGGCCCUUCCUACCUCAGCCAUUCUGUGAUUCUGUACUAGGUGAGAUGCUGAAACAAAGUUUUACAUCCCCAUGAGUGAAGGAAGUGCAUCCUUAGUGUGAAGUAACAGGACUUUUAGAAAGAACACAAGUCACUCCGAUUAAAUAAUUUUCUAUUUAAAACAAAAAUGGUAAAAUCCAAACUUAUCUUUCAUUUAACCGUGCAAAAGAAUUACAGCUGUGACAAUCAUCUAUUUGUGUAGGCAGCACAAACCAGUCAGCACUUAUUGAAGGCCCCACGGUAAGUCUUUACCUAGGGACUCUAGUUCCACCCACAAACCCAUGUGCUACUUAACACACACAGUACAAAAUAUUUAGUCCUUAUGUUGAUUUCUCCUUUAGAAAAAACACAGAAUUGUUGGGUACAAAUCUUAUGUCAAAAAUACACGAAGGACAAAAUACAAAAUUUGGAUGGAAAGGGGGCGGAAGGAUAGGAGAAGAAACCUCAGUUUUCAUAUAUGGGUUUUAAAUAUCUUUGAAAUUUGGCCACGUGCAGUUAAUGCCUCAAUCAGAAGGCCGAUUCAGGACAGAGGCAGAUAUGUAGUACAAAGACAAUUGUGUCCUUCUAAGCCACUAAAGCUGUGUGGUAAACUCCAGAAAAAAAGAAGUUUCUCUGUGACAAGGCUAAAAGUGAAUCUCUAUCCUAGUGAGCUAGGUAGUUUACCAUCACAUUAUCUGUAAGAAAUCCGAACCCGUAGGAGAACAUUAGAGGCAGAAACCACUUCGACCAUUAAUAAUAACAGUUCUGUGAUUCUAUGAUGAUUCCUUCAGAGCUUGCUUUGAGGCACUUCAUAUGCAAUAUGCACCAGACUACCUCAUUUCUAUCUUCUUACACCUGCACUCACCAUGUGAAGACUUCAUAGAACAUUCAUGAUCUUGUGAUAAAAUACUAAAGAUACCUAUAUUGAAAGAUUUUCAAAUUCCAUAGGAGUUCAAAGGUGAGCUUCCCUGCAGCAUCUGUUGCCUAAAUGUUACUAAAAAGAACUGGAGCAGUUUACACAAUUAAAAUCACUCAGUUCAGUCUCUCUUUAGUCCAAAGUGCAAAAAUAAUGUUUUUCCUUAAAAGGUGCUAUCAUUAGUAAUUAAGUCUCAGAGUACCGUUCCACCUACGUAUACUCAUUAAAGAACAGGCGAGCAAAGCUUUCUACCUAGAGAAAUUCUAAGGACAAUCCCUGUUGUAGUUACCUCUGCUACAUUAUAUAGCCAGGCUUCGACCAAACUUAGUUGAAAAUACUUCCAUUACAGCAGAUUA